GAUGAACGCUGGCGGCGUGCCUAAUACAUGCAAGUCGAGCGAACGGACGAGAAGCUUGCUUCUCUGAUGUUAGCGGCGGACGGGUGAGUAACACGUGGAUAACCUACCUAUAAGACUGGGAUAACUUCGGGAAACCGUAGCUAAUACCGGAUAAUAUUUUGAACCGCAUGGUUCAAAAGUGAAAGACGGUCUUGCUGUCACUUAUAGAUGGGUCCGCGCUGCAUUAGCUAGUUGGUAAGGUAACGGCUUACCAAGGCAACGAUGCAUAGCCGACCUGAGAGGGUGAUCGGCCACACUGGAACUGAGACACGGUCCAGACUCCUACGGGAGGCAGCAGUAGGGAAUCUUCCGCAAUGGGCGAAAGCCUGACGGAGCAACGCCGCGUGAGUGAUGAAGGUCUUCGGAUCGUAAAACUCUGUUAUUAGGGAAGAACAUAUGUGUAAGUAACUGUGCACAUCUUGACUGUACCUAAUCAGAAAGCCACGGCUAACUACGU
This 496-nucleotide ribosomal RNA is filed under the name uncultured bacterium. RNAcentral's name for it is "partial 16S ribosomal RNA". It matches the Rfam family "Bacterial small subunit ribosomal RNA", at positions 28 to 506 of the family's 1533-position model. The record is from RNAcentral.